This 445-nucleotide ribosomal RNA is filed under the name uncultured bacterium. Its description in RNAcentral is "bacterial SSU rRNA". It matches the Rfam family "Bacterial small subunit ribosomal RNA", at positions 354 to 796 of the family's 1533-position model. The record is from RNAcentral.
GUGAGGAAUAUUGCGCAAUGGAGGCAACUCUGACGCAGCCAUGCCGCGUGCAGGAAGAAGGCGCUACGCGUUGUAAACUGCUUUUAACCGGGAAGAAACCCCAGGACGUGUCCUGGGUUGACGGUACCGGAGGAAUAAGCACCGGCUAACUUCGUACCAGCAGCCGCGGUAAUACGAAGGGUGCAAGCGUUAUCCGGAUUCAUUGGGUUUAAAGGGUGCGUAGGCGGAGCGUUAAGUCAGUGGUGAAAUCCUGCAGCUUAACUGUAGACUUGCCAUUGAUACUGGCGCUCUUGAGUGCGCUUGAAGUGGGCGGAAUGUGCCGUGUAGCGGUGAAAUGCUUAGAUAUGGCACAGAACACCAAUUGCGAAGGCAGCUCACUAAGGCGAUACUGACGCUGAGGCACGAAAGCGUGGGGAUCGAACAGGAUUAGAAACCCUAGUAGUCC